Long non-coding RNA from Thunnus maccoyii (southern bluefin tuna), 1106 nucleotides. RefSeq lists it as uncharacterized. The transcript has 2 exons. NCBI's taxonomy places the organism in Eukaryota, Metazoa, Chordata, Actinopteri, Scombriformes, Scombridae. The record is from RefSeq and is a predicted model, not a curated record.
AGCAUGUAUGACGCUCCCGGCAGCACAUCAGGGAGGACCAACGGUUUUGGAGGCUGGUCGAGCAAACACUCCCCUAGAAGAGGAAGAUUAGGGCUUCAGAAAGUGCAGCUUGAUGCAGUGUAUACCACAUACCACACACAGACAUAUGCACACAAGCAUGAGCGCCCCCCAUCCCCAUCACAUCCCCCUAAAAACCUCUCAUGUUGAUCCCACCCUUGUUGCAAGACUUGCAGGGAUAAAGUUAUAUGAGAAUAAUCUCUAACUCUUAGAUUUGAGCUUAAAAUAUUGCUUUAAACUCUCCACCAAGAUGACAUCCAGCUAGCAAACAGUGCCACCGUCGAAGGCAUCAACUCCAUUUACAAUAAAUGACACAGAAACUUUUCCAGGAACAGGCUAAUGACAGGAAGAGUUUGACGAGCAGGUGCUUGGAAACAUGAAAGAUCAACGUCAUUGGAUGAGACGGGUUCCAAGAGGAGGUUUUUAUCACUCUAAGACAAACACAAUUUCUCACCCUUAUGGGGAAUUUACACAUCCAAAAGAAGGGGGGAAAAACUGGGUUCCCUUACUUUGAACUGUUUAUUAUGCCAUUUGUGUUGUGGUGAAUUCACAAGAGAUAAUGAGGGAGUGAACGAAUGAGCUGUAACUGGUGGCAAAUUUGUUUCCUCCCAUUUCACCGCAAAUUUGGCAGAAGAAACACACUGAUUAAAUAAUAUGCUGCAUAAGCAAGUCAUUCUAGACUGAAUAAGCUGAACCUCACCUCUUCCUUCCUACUCUCUCUCUCCAAAGAGUGAUCAUUCAAAACAAUAGCUGGCAUUGUGAGGAGAAAUGAACAGGUUAUGAAUAAUUUUGGGUGCAGCACGGCAUGAAAACUGCCUCAAACAUGUGGCAACAUGUUUUUUUUUUCCUCUCCGCUGCUUUUUGAAGUCUAGAUUUAUGGCAGACAGCAAGGAGAAACCAAGUUACAACACUGUUACAUAGAAAUCACACCCUGUGAAGUCAAAAUGUUCUACUGUAUCUUGCUCCCAACCAGUUUAUGUUGUUUUGUUCUCAGACCAUCACUAAAUAGAAGAAGCAAAAAAGUUGGUCUAUUUGAAGUAAACCUGCAA